RNAcentral lists this ribosomal RNA (292 nucleotides) under Puccinia suaveolens. Its description in RNAcentral is "partial large subunit ribosomal RNA". It matches the Rfam family "Eukaryotic large subunit ribosomal RNA", at positions 10 to 297 of the family's 3401-position model. Lineage: Eukaryota; Fungi; Basidiomycota; Pucciniomycetes; Pucciniales; Pucciniaceae. The record is from RNAcentral.
AUCAGGUGGGACUACCUGCUGAACUUAAGCAUAUCAAUAAGCAGAGGAAAAGAAACUAACAAGGAUUCCCCUAGUAAUGGCGAAUGAAGAGGGAAAAGCCCAAAUUUGUAAUCUGGCUCUUUCAGAGUCCGAGUUGUAAUUUUAAGAACUGUUUUCAGUGCUGGACCAUGUAUAAGUCUGUUGAAAGGCAGCAUCAUAGAAGGUGAUAAUCCUGUUCAUGAUGUGGACUACCAGUGCAAUAUGAUACAGUCUCUAAGAGUCGAGUUGUUUGGGAAUGCAGCUCAAAGUGGGU